RNAcentral lists this transfer RNA (90 nucleotides) under Pseudomonadales bacterium. RNAcentral's name for it is "tRNA-Ser". It matches the Rfam family "tRNA". Rfam says of the family: Transfer RNA (tRNA) molecules are approximately 80 nucleotides in length. Their secondary structure includes four short double-helical elements and three loops (D, anti-codon, and T loops). RNAcentral also lists the same sequence under 2 other names. The record is from RNAcentral. Lineage: Bacteria; Pseudomonadati; Pseudomonadota; Gammaproteobacteria; Pseudomonadales.
GGAGGGGUGGCAGAGUGGUCGAAUGCACUGGUCUUGAAAACCAGCGAGGGUGAAAGCCCUCCGAGAGUUCGAAUCUCUCCUCCUCCGCCA